AGAGUUUGAUCCUGGCUCAGGAUGAACGCUGGCGGCGUGCCUAAUACAUGCAAGUCGAACGCACAGCGAAAGGUGCUUGCACCUUUCAAGUGAGUGGCGAACGGGUGAGUAACACGUGGAUAACCUACCUCAAGGUUGGGGAUAACAUUUGGAAACAGAUGCUAAUACCGAAUAAAACUUCGUAUCGCAUGAUACAAGGUUAAAAGGCGCUACGGCGUCACCUAGAGAUGGAUCCGCGGUGCAUUAGUUAGUUGGUGGGGUAAAGGCUUACCAAGACAAUGAUGCAUAGCCGAGUUGAGAGACUGAUCGGCCACAUUGGGACUGAGACACGGCCCAAACUCCUACGGGAGGCUGCAGUAGGGAAUCUUCCACAAUGGGCGAAAGCCUGAUGGAGCAACGCCGCGUGUGUGAUGAAGGCUUUCGGGUCGUAAAGCACUGUUGUAUGGGAAGAACAGCUAGAGUAGGGAAUGACUUUAGUUUGACGGUACCAUACCAGAAAGGGACGGCUAAAUACGUGCCAGCAGCCGCGGUAAUACGUAUGUCCCGAGCGUUAUCCGGAUUUAUUGGGCGUAAAGCGAGCGCAGACGGUUGAUUAAGUCUGAUGUGAAAGCCCGGAGCUCAACUCCGGAAAGGCAUUGGAAACUGGUCAACUUGAGUGCAGUAGAGGUAAGUGGAACUCCAUGUGUAGCGGUGGAAUGCGUAGAUAUAUGGAAGAACACCAGCGGCGAAGGCGGCUUACUGGACUGUAACUGACGUUGAGGCUCGAAAGUGUGGGUAGCAAACAGGAUUAGAUACCCUGGUAGUCCACACCGUAAACGAUGA
This 822-nucleotide ribosomal RNA is filed under the name uncultured bacterium. RNAcentral describes it as "bacterial SSU rRNA". It matches the Rfam family "Bacterial small subunit ribosomal RNA", at positions 8 to 812 of the family's 1533-position model. The record is from RNAcentral.